Small nuclear RNA from Cavia porcellus (domestic guinea pig), 107 nucleotides. The record is from Ensembl. NCBI's taxonomy places the organism in Eukaryota, Metazoa, Chordata, Mammalia, Rodentia, Caviidae.
GUUUUCACUUUGGGAGCACAUAUACUAAAACUGGAACAAUACAGAGAAGAUUAGCAUGGCCCCUGAGCAAGGAUGACACACAAAUUCGUGAAGCAUUCCAUAGUUUU